AAAACCGCUACACGAGUCCGUCAGAUGAUUUUCACACGAUUAGUCGAAUAUUUGUCUUUCUCUUCGUGAUAGAUUAUUUAAGUGACGAGCGAAAAAACGACGAGAAGUUUCGAAUUUCUGACUAUAAUAAAUCGACUCUAAAGUGCAACAAGUGACUAGUUCAUUCGUCUAACAAUAAGAGGUGAAUAGAUCGAAGAUGAACUUGUCUGGAGAAGUUGUUUGCGCGUAUUGCAGCGUAAUUAUGUUGCUUGGAUUUUCUAAUUUACACAGGGGAGACAACAAGAAGGCAAUCAAAUUGCUUUCGUCGACAAAUUGUGAUUAACCCAUCAAAGACCAGGAAUUGAAACGAACGCGCGAAAAAUUCGCAAACGCAACGACGUAACGCGUAAAAUUUACGGGAAACUCUGAACACUUUGAAAACCUGACAGUUCGAAGAAACAUGGAAAUUUGUAAAUUUCGGGGGAGCGAAAACGUUGAAACAUGAAUAUUUCGAGGUAUGGAAAUCUUUACUCGAAAUAUGGAGAUUUUUAAACGCGUGAAACUUUGAGGAUAUGGAAAUUUGAAAGAUACGGGAACACUGAAAUAUGGAAAUUCUGAAAUAUGGAAACGUCGAAACUCGAAAGCCUUGAAAUUUGAAAACUUUGAAUAAUUUUAAAAUACGUACGAACUUUAAAAUUCGAGAAUCUUAUAAACUUGGAAGCCUUGAAACUUGACAAUUUCAAGACGAAAUAUACACGACACAUACGUUAUUGCAACAUUGAUUGGAUCGGUCCUUGAUGGAUUAACCGAAGCACCAAAACGGCUUUUCAAAAACAUUCCAGACCGAGAACCACUGAGAACGUCUUUGAAAAACGUACCAAAAAAUCGAAGAAAUCGCAAGAAGAAACGCUCCGGCUAUUGAUUCAAAAUUAACAAGUAGUCAAUUCCGCAAUUCAGGAUUGCACGAUCAAGUCUACUAAAAAACGUAUCGAAUAGCGCCGAUACAAGAAGCAACAACAGCUAGAACAUCUGGUAGACGGUUGCACGGAAUGUGAGAGAGAAUCUCAUCGGAGAGAUUCAAUCGAUGCUACUAACACUAAACUUGUACUUUACGUAUAAUCUACAUGAGAGUGUUACACUAACGAGACACCGGAGAAAAUGACUGCUGAGCUAGUUGAUCGCUGAAAUUUCCCGUUAUCCGGUAAUAUUCAGUAUUUUUCUAAAAAAAAAAAAAAAAAAAAAAAUGGGAACGACGACUUUCAGCAAAAUCCGAUGCGUGCAAGCGAGCCCCACGUCCCUCCUUUUUGCUAUCUUCUUCGUCUUUCACUCAUUAAUACGUUUCUCCGAAUUCACGUUCGUUCAUUCUUCAUCCCCCUUUCUCUCUCUCUCUGUCUCCUACCCAUUCUAUUUAUUAUUAAUAAGAAAUAACUUCGUAAAUAACGCGCGCGAGCGAGCGUGUUUGACGAUUCUCGUGACUUUAUUAACAUUCUUUUCGAUCUUUUUUUUUUUUUUCUUUUUUUCGUAGUCAUCGAUCGAUAGACAACAAUCGACGUGUCAGUUUUAUUUUUAUACUCGUCUCCUGUCUCCUUUGACCAUCCGAGUUAGCUCUCGAUCAUUUCAACGAUUCGUAAAGUAUUGUAUUUAUAAAUGUGUAUAUUAUAAUAAAUAUCGCGUUAUUUUUUUUUUUCUUCGUUCUUUCGCGUUUUGUCUUCUUCCCUCGCGUGUCACCUCGAAACACCCUUCUUCCACCUUCUCUCAAAUGAACGAAGAACAUUUGUCAGCUUUUUGCCUGGGACAAACCUUCUUCGUUUGUCGUUUGUCGUUUCUUUCCUCGACUCGGAGAGAACCUGGAACAGUACUCCGUUGUCCAAUUGUUUCUCCAUUUGGUUUCUCGUUUCUCGGAAAGUCGUUUCAUUUGUGUUCGUGGUUUCCGUCCUCGUGGAGAUCCAUUCGUACGUCAAUUAAGAAUACCAUUUGUCGUAGGAAACAAAAUCGGAUCGU
Frieseomelitta varia is the source of this 1980-nucleotide long non-coding RNA. RefSeq lists it as uncharacterized. The transcript is spliced from 2 exons. NCBI's taxonomy places the organism in Eukaryota, Metazoa, Arthropoda, Insecta, Hymenoptera, Apidae. The record is from RefSeq and is a predicted model, not a curated record.